Molecule: long non-coding RNA, 530 nt
Organism: Talpa occidentalis (Iberian mole)
Lineage: Eukaryota; Metazoa; Chordata; Mammalia; Eulipotyphla; Talpidae
Exons: 4
Source: RefSeq, a predicted model, not a curated record
CAAAGUGAUGAGUUAGGAUUUGAAGAAUGUCUGUCUGAUUCCAGAGUCCACUACUUUCACCAGGAUUCUAAGUAAGCUGGAGGAGAAUAAUCACACCAGCAUACACGAAGGCUAACUUUUAAGAUAUGAAUGAAAUCUACUAGUUGCAGAAUGGGCCAGCAUCAAUCAAAAUAUGCUAAAGGAAUUCAAAAAAUAUCAAUGCAAACAUUUGAAGAGGACUUCACAAAGAAAUCUUAAACAUUAAACAAGAAGGAAAAAAAAAAGACCUGAAAGUUUAAAAUACAAAGAUCUCUCCUAGAUGAAAGUCUAAACAAAUCUAAGUGUGAGAAGACCUGACACAAAGUGAAUGAUGUACAUGUCAAGAAAUGAUCGUGGAGAGUACAUAAAAUUGACAACUAAUCUAGAGCUAGUUUCUGCUUUUUGUGGGAUAUCAUCUGUAAAUUUAAGGGCUGGAAGAAACCACAAAAGGAAUGGACAAUGAAGGAAGAAGUAGUUGAUUUUGAAGCUCCAGAACAACUGGAAAUGAGAAU